UACGGAGGGUGCGAGCGUUAAUCGGAAUUACUGGGCGUAAAGCGCACGCAGGCGGUUUGUUAAGCUAGAUGUGAAAGCCCCGGGCUCAACCUGGGAUGGUCAUUUAGAACUGGCAGACUAGGGUCUUGGAGAGGGGAGUGGAAUUCCAGGUGUAGCGGUGAAAUGCGUAGAUAUCUGGAGGAACAUCAGUGGCGAAGGCGACUCCCUGGCCAAAGACUGACGCUCAUGUGCGAAAGUGUGGGUAGCGAACAGG
This 253-nucleotide ribosomal RNA is filed under the name uncultured bacterium. RNAcentral describes it as "partial 16S ribosomal RNA". It matches the Rfam family "Bacterial small subunit ribosomal RNA", at positions 524 to 776 of the family's 1533-position model. The record is from RNAcentral.